GAUGAACGCUGGCGGCGUGCCUAAUACAUGCAAGUCGAGCGAACAGACGAGGAGCUUGCUCCUCUGACGUUAGCGGCGGACGGGUGAGUAACACGUGGAUAACCUACCUAUAAGACUGGGAUAACUUCGGGAAACCGGAGCUAAUACCGGAUAACAUGUUGAACCGCAUGGUUCAACAGUGAAAGACGGUUUUGCUGUCACUUAUAGAUGGAUCCGCGCCGCAUUAGCUAGUUGUUAAGGUAACGGCUUACCAAGGCAACGAUGCGUAGCCGACCUGAGAGGGUGAUCGGCCACACUGGAACUGAGACACGGUCCAGACUCCUACGGGAGGCAGCAGUAGGGAAUCUUCCGCAAUGGGCGAAAGCCUGACGGAGCAACGCCGCGUGAGUGAAGAAGGUCUUCGGAUCGUAAAACUCUGUUAUUAGGGAAGAACAAAUGUGUAAGUAACUAUGCACGUCUUGACGGUAACUAAUCAGAAAGCCACGGCUAACUACGUG
This 497-nucleotide ribosomal RNA is filed under the name uncultured bacterium. RNAcentral's name for it is "partial 16S ribosomal RNA". It matches the Rfam family "Bacterial small subunit ribosomal RNA", at positions 28 to 507 of the family's 1533-position model. The record is from RNAcentral.